UGAUCAGAUUAUGCGACGGUAUGGGAC
This 27-nucleotide non-coding RNA is filed under the name Callithrix jacchus (white-tufted-ear marmoset). RNAcentral also lists the same sequence under 1 other name. Lineage: Eukaryota; Metazoa; Chordata; Mammalia; Primates; Cebidae. The record is from RNAcentral.